This 793-nucleotide ribosomal RNA is filed under the name Pezicula rubi. RNAcentral describes it as "eukaryotic LSU rRNA". It matches the Rfam family "Eukaryotic large subunit ribosomal RNA", at positions 109 to 919 of the family's 3401-position model. Lineage: Eukaryota; Fungi; Ascomycota; Leotiomycetes; Helotiales; Dermateaceae. The record is from RNAcentral.
UCAAAUUUGAAAUCUGGGCCUUUCAGGCUCCGAGUUGUAAUUUGUAGAAGAUGCUUUGGGUGCGGCCCCGGUCUAAGUUCCUUGGAACAGGACGUCAUAGAGGGUGAGAAUCCCGUAUGUGAUCGGUGGCCUGCGCCCGUGUAAAGCUCUUUCGACGAGUCGGGUUGUUUGGGAAUGCAGCUCUAAAUGGGUGGUAAAUUUCAUCUAAAGCUAAAUAUUGGCCAGAGACCGAUAGCGCACAAGUAGAGUGAUCGAAAGAUGAAAAGCACUUUGGAAAGAGAGUUAAACAGUACGUGAAAUUGUUGAAAGGGAAGCGCUUGCAACCAGACUUGCGCGGGGUUGAUCAUCCGGGGUUCUCCCCGGUGCACUCGGCCCCGCUCAGGCCAGCAUCGGUUUCGGUGGUUGGAUAAAGGCCUUGGGAAUGUGACUUCCUUCGGGGAGUGUUAUAGCCCUCGGUGCAAUGCAGCCUACCGGGACCGAGGACCGCGCUUCGGCUAGGAUGCUGGCGUAAUGGUUGUAAGCGACCCGUCUUGAAACACGGACCAAGGAGUCUAACAUCUAUGCGAGUGUUUGGGUGUCAAACCCAUACGCGUAAUGAAAGUGAACGGAGGUGAGAACCCUUAAGGGUGCAUCAUCGACCGAUCCUGAUGUCUUCGGAUGGAUUUGAGUAAGAGCAUAGCUGUUGGGACCCGAAAGAUGGUGAACUAUGCCUGAAUAGGGUGAAGCCAGAGGAAACUCUGGUGGAGGCUCGCAGCGGUUCUGACGUGCAAAUCGAUCGUCAAAUUUGGGCAUA